Molecule: long non-coding RNA, 1272 nt
Organism: Cyprinus carpio (common carp)
Lineage: Eukaryota; Metazoa; Chordata; Actinopteri; Cypriniformes; Cyprinidae
Source: Ensembl
ANUUGUAUAAAAGCAAUGUCACAUUUGCAAUCUUGCCUGAUAUUAAGAAGAAACAGUGCUCUUGCUCGUUUGAUGUUGCUUUAAAUCAGUAAAGGAUUAUAUUAACAUGAACUUAUGAAAUGUUUCCUAAGUCUCUUGAAACAGAACAUUAAACCAAAAUAAACAUGCUGACAUUCUCCUGAACUUCGGCUCCUUGAUAUCAAUUUGACUCAAAUAUUAGUCAAGACUUGAUCAAGAUGCUGUAACAUCAUUUUAAAUUCAAUUUGGACAGCAAUAUCUUCUAGUUGUAAUUGGGUGAAAAUAGGAAGUUAGACCCACACUGAAACUGGUUUAAUGUAGGCCAAUAUGUUGGACAUUUAAUUUACAUUAAAUUAAAAUAAUGUCAAGUUUUUUUUUUUUUUUUUGUUUGUUGUUUGAUUUGUUGUUUUUUUGCAUAUUUGACCUACUUUUUGACUUCAAUUUGAUGUCAACAUGAACUGCCCACUGGGAAGCUGUUGCACAAACAAAACAACAAAACUGUGUCUCUGCUGUCUUGAGGUAAAUGAUGUGGAGUGUGUUUGCAUAUUGAUCAGAUGCUUCAGUGCUCUGAGAGUGUUUAUAGUGCUGUGAGUUUAACACUUCAUCACUGACACACACAACAAUCUUCAUCAACAUGACCUUCAUCAUCAUCUUCAUCUGGACUCUCACAGCGUUUGCUCAAGAGUGUAGAGGACAGAUCAGCGUCACUCAGAGUCCCUCAACAGCAGCUCAACCAGGAGAAACAGUGAAGAUCAGCUGUAACUGCAGCUGCUCAAACACUAUCACACACUACUGACACACAGAGACCAAACACAGAACUACACAUGAGCUCAGAACUGAGUCAGGAGUGAAAUCAGCUCUAUUAGACUGUGAUCUGUCCUGUGACAGACGGGUUUGACUCAACUAUGCUCAGAUUCAGAGAAAACAGAGAGUGUAAACUAAUAUCAAAUCAAACAGACAAUAACAGCACCAAGGUUUUUUUUAUUUUUUUUAUUUUGUACAUUAUAAUACACUCAUAUCUCAUUUUAAGUCAUAUAGUAAAGUCAUUGUAGCAGCAGCAUUGUGUUUUCAUUCACAAAAAUCUAAUUCUAACCUUUAAAUAUUUAUAAUGCUGAGUUUCUUUUUUACUAUAUUCAUGAUCUUUUAUGUUCUUUAUGUUCCUGAUGAAUUGUCUCUUGCUGCCCCUUGUUGGUCACUGAUCUGCACUACAUAUUCACCCUGCAUUUAAAUCAAAUAAAAAUGAAGACAUUUAAA